CCCCAACUCGAUUUAUUAAUACUGUUAAUAUACAGGACUACACUCAAUGACUUAUUUUUUGAUAAUAAAUAUCUAAACAAAAUGAUACUAAUCCUAACCCAUUUCACCCUAAAAUUAAACUAGGAGAACUAGGAAUAAAAAUCAAAAAAA
This is a long non-coding RNA of Octopus sinensis (East Asian common octopus), 150 nucleotides long. RefSeq lists it as uncharacterized. The transcript is spliced from 2 exons. The record is from RefSeq and is a predicted model, not a curated record. Lineage: Eukaryota; Metazoa; Mollusca; Cephalopoda; Octopoda; Octopodidae.